UCCCAGGUGGCCUAGAGGUUAGGGACUCUGCAUUGCCACUGCUGUGGCUCAGGUUCAAUCCCUGGCCCAGGAA
RNAcentral lists this transfer RNA (73 nucleotides) under Sus scrofa (pig). It matches the Rfam family "tRNA". From Rfam's summary of the family: Transfer RNA (tRNA) molecules are approximately 80 nucleotides in length. Their secondary structure includes four short double-helical elements and three loops (D, anti-codon, and T loops). Lineage: Eukaryota; Metazoa; Chordata; Mammalia; Artiodactyla; Suidae. The record is from Rfam by way of RNAcentral.